AGAGUUUGAUCCUGGCUCAGAAAACAGGCGGGGGGCGUGCCUAACACAUGCAAGUCGUACGAGAAAGUCCGCUUCGGUGGGCAAGUAAAGUGGCGCACGGGUGAGUAACGCGUGGAUAAUCUACCCUUUAGUCUGGAAUAACUUAUCGAAAGGUGAACUAAUACCGGAUAAUAUCCCGAAUUCUCCGGAAAUCGGGAUCAAAGAAGGCCUCUGCUUGCAAGCUUUUGCUGAAGGAUGAGUCCGCGUACCAUUAUCUAGUUGGUAGGGUAAAGGCCUACCAAGGUUAUGAUGGUUAGCUGGUCUGAGAGGAUGAUCAGCCACACUGGAACUGAAACACGGUCCAGACUCCUACGGGAGGCAGCAGUGAGGAAUAUUGUGUAAUGGGGCAACCCUGACGCAACAACGCCGCGUGAGUGAGGAAGGUUUUCGGAUUGUAAAGCUCUGUCGAGCGGAAAGAAAUAUAUGGUGGCUAAUAUUCACCAUAUUUGACGGUACCGUUAGAGGAAGCACCGGCUAACUCCGUGCCAGCAGCCGCGGUAAUACGGGGGGUGCAAGCGUUGUUCGGAAUCAUUGGGGCGUAGAGAGCGUGUACGCGGCUGGACAAGUCAGAUGUGAAAGCCCUGGGCUUACCCCAGGAAGUGCACUUGAAACUGUCUUGCUUGAGUAAGGAGAGGAAAGUGCAUUCCUGAUGUA
This 693-nucleotide ribosomal RNA is filed under the name uncultured bacterium. RNAcentral's name for it is "bacterial SSU rRNA". It matches the Rfam family "Bacterial small subunit ribosomal RNA", at positions 8 to 677 of the family's 1533-position model. The record is from RNAcentral.